This 252-nucleotide ribosomal RNA is filed under the name uncultured bacterium. RNAcentral describes it as "partial 16S ribosomal RNA". It matches the Rfam family "Bacterial small subunit ribosomal RNA", at positions 524 to 776 of the family's 1533-position model. The record is from RNAcentral.
UACGUAGGGGGCAAGCGUUGUCCGGAAUUAUUGGGCGUAAAGCGCGCGCAGGCGGUUAUUUAAGUCUGGUGUUUAAUCCUGGGGCUCAACUCCGGGUCGCACUGGAAACUGGGUAACUUGAGUACAGAAGAGGAAAGUGGAAUUCCACGUGUAGCGGUGAAAUGCGUAGAGAUGUGGAGGAACACCAGUGGCGAAGGCGACUUUCUGGGCUGUAACUGACGCUGAGGCGCGAAAGCGUGGGGAGCAAACAGG